RNAcentral lists this ribosomal RNA (454 nucleotides) under uncultured Desulfobulbus sp. Its description in RNAcentral is "bacterial SSU rRNA". It matches the Rfam family "Bacterial small subunit ribosomal RNA", at positions 933 to 1382 of the family's 1533-position model. The record is from RNAcentral. Lineage: Bacteria; Pseudomonadati; Thermodesulfobacteriota; Desulfobulbia; Desulfobulbales; Desulfobulbaceae.
UGGAGUAUGUGGUUAAUUCGAUGCAACGCGAAGAACCUUACCUGGUCUUGACAUCCCGGAGACCCUUAGGGAACUAGGGGGUGCUUCCAUCUGGAAGAAUCUGGAGACAGGUGCUGCAUGGCUGUCGUCAGCUCGUGUCGUGAGAUGUUGGGUUAAGUCCCGCAACGAGCGCAACCCUUGCCUUUAGUUGCCAGCAAUUCGGCUGGGCACUCUAAGGGGACUGCCGGUGUUAAACCGGAGGAAGGUGGGGAUGACGUCAAGUCCUCAUGGCCUUUAUGACCAGGGCUACACACGUACUACAAUGGCCGAUACAAAGGGCAGCGACACUGCGAGGUGAAGCCAAUCCCGUAAAAUCGGUCUCAGUCCGGAUUGGAGUCUGCAACUCGACUCCAUGAAGUUGGAAUCGCUAGUAAUCGUGGAUCAGCAUGCCACGGUGAAUACGUUCCCGGGCCUU